GCGGGUAUCGUAUAAUGGUUCUUAUGUCAGCCUUCCAAGCUGAAGAUGGGGGUUCGAUUCCCCCUACCCGCUCCA
Molecule: transfer RNA, 75 nt
Filed under: Candidatus Moraniibacteriota bacterium
Lineage: Bacteria; Candidatus Moraniibacteriota
Description: tRNA-Gly
Rfam family: tRNA
About the family: Transfer RNA (tRNA) molecules are approximately 80 nucleotides in length.
Source: RNAcentral